Molecule: long non-coding RNA, 7611 nt
Filed under: Mus musculus (house mouse)
Lineage: Eukaryota; Metazoa; Chordata; Mammalia; Rodentia; Muridae
Description: RIKEN cDNA 6330525I24 gene, transcript variant 3 (6330525I24Rik)
Source: RNAcentral
CCUCUCCAGAAAUUAAAGCCGAGGAGCAUCUCAAAGUGGAAAAGGUCCCCCUUCUGGUAGAAUGGAUACAAAAAGUGGAAACAGUUUAUUUUCUCAGCGGGGGCAGAAAGGACUUUUUUGUUGUUGUUGGUUUUGGUUUUUGGUUUUGGUAUUGUUGUACUUUUAUUUUUUAGCACUGCUUCAGUCGCCCAGUCGGGGGGAAUCUUUUUGUGAAGCAACAGCAGACCUGCCAACUCUCUAUUUGGAAUCUUUAUUAAAGUAUCAAGCUGAAGAAAAGCCCAGGAAUUUCAUGCCACUCAUGCCAAAUAUACCCAUUGCUAUUUCAUGGGAUUUCCAGUAACACUGCCUGCCGUGAGCCCUUUCUUCCUGAUCAUCGUCAUGACUGCAAGUCUCAAUGUACCUUCUCUAGUUCAUCUGACCCGGGAUUAUUCCCUUCCACUGAUGGACCAGAUAUAGAUGAACAUCCCACUUCACAGGAGACUCUGAUAAAUGGACUCGGUACCAGUGGGGGAUGCUAAUGACACCACCUUGCUGAUUCUGCCUACUUAUAGAAAGAAAAUGAAACUGUUUGGCUACAUCAAGACAAAAGAGCAUGAAGAUCGUAAAUGACAAAUGACAGUUCCCCGUCCCUGGAUAAUGAAGACAAACCAAAACACCCGCAAGAAACAGCAGGCUGGGAAUUCGGAGACGGCCUGAGUGAGGGCAUGGCUGUGACAGAGUCCCAUGCCGCAGUCACCUUCUUUCUGCACGGCUUCACACGCUGGCUGAGUAACCCCAGGUUACUGACUAUGGAACUUCCAUCGGGUGCAAAGCUGCAGGCAGUAAAAUUGGAACGUGCUCGGAGUUUUGUAUUUCCCAGUCCUGGGGGACUUUCUGAGACAGUGCUGUCGAAGACCAUGAAUCUCGCUAAUACAGAGUGCAGCCUCUCCAGCUAUUAAGAUGUCUCCAACAAUGUGAUUAUUUUAAAAUGGAAAAACUAAUAUCACAUGUGUUACUUAAAGAUCAACUAUUCUUUGAAAGUCACAGAGAGAAUGCAUUUGGAUUUAAAAAAAAAAUCAAAUUGUUUCUGCAUGCUGCCAAAAAUGUAGAGUGUCUCAGCUCCAGAACAAGAAAAGUCUCCGUGCCUUUUACAAAACACAUCCUUACUUGAGCUUCAGGUCAGUAGAGCAUAAAAAUGGCCAAAAGGCCAAGAUCAAUAAGCAUGAAAAACUGUUUUCUUUCUGUUUGAGCAAGUUGUAGUGACAAUGACCUGCUGGAUCUGUCUCUGGCUUUAUGCUUUCCUAGUCACAGAAAGAUUACAUUCAAGCAGAAACACAGCGAGCCCUUGUGAUGGACAGAGGGUGUGGAUGCAGCAUUGCUGCUGGCCUCCUAUUGGCUGAGAACUCACCCCACAGAAUUCAGUGAGGUUAGUAUGUAGGGAGGACUGCAACCAAACAUUAUCCAGGGCAUUUAGUGAAGCAUUUGUAUUGUAAGCACACAGAAAGCAUAAGAUCCCUUUGUUUUGUCUUUUGUAUGUUUGUUUUUGUUUUGUUUUGUUUUCCUGUUUUGUUUUGUUUUCCUCAAGACAGGAUUUCUCUGUGUAUACUCCUAGCUGUCCUGGAACUCACUCUGUAGACCAGGCUGGCCUCGAACUCAGAAUUCCGCCUACCUCUGCCUCCCAAGUGCUGGGAUCAAAGGCAUGUGCCACCAUUGCCUGGUGAGACCCCUUUUUUCUUGAUGCCUUUAAAUGGAUGAGAAUCAUCUUAGAGCCUUGAUUCCUAUGCUGAUUUAAAAUAAAAGCCAUAAUAAGAAAACAUGUGCACUCGUCUCAAGGUGUGAGCAAAUCAUACUGCAAUGUGAAAGUGAUUUGCCCAUAGAUGAUCAACAAUUCUGAGAUUUCAUAGCAGUUUCUCUUCCUUGUGACAUUUAUUUCUUUCUUUCCAUCAUUCCUAGUUUAUGGGUGGAUAGAUGGGUGUAAGUGUAUGUAUGGUGACGGUGUAGGUGUCCUGUUAGGAUCCUGAUCUAGGAUGGUCUGCCCUAUUUCCUUGAGGCAAGCUCUCUUGCUGAACUUGAGUUAGGCUAGCAACUGCCAGCCCCGAAAUCCUCUUGCCUCUGCCCUCCUCCAAGCCUGGGUUAUAGGCAUCCAGACAACCAUUCCUGGCUUUUUACAUGAGUUCUGGGACUGAAAUCCCCACUUCUCUCUGCUUGCUCAGUAUGACGUGCACACUGCUAUGCAUAUUCUCUAUUAGUAAGGAUUAUUUUAUAUUGUGAAUACUGUAGAAGUUCUUUUUGUUUGAUUGUUUUUUUCUUGUUGUGGGUGUUUUGUUUUGUUUAUUUGUUUGUUGUUUUGGAGCCAGGGUUUCUCUGUGUAACAGCCCUGACUUUUCUGGAACUCACUUUGUAGACUAGACUGGCCGCUAACUCACAGAGAUCUGCCUGCCUCUGCCUGCCAAAUGCUGGGAUUAAAGGUGUACGCCACCGCUGCCCUGAAGAAUUUCUUAUCUAAAGGAUAAAAACAACAACUGGUUUUUCAACUCAGGUACAGUGUAUGUAUCAUAUACAUGGUUUUUGCAUUGGUGUCUGUGAGUAUUGUUUAUUGAAAAGGCAGAAAGAUGGAAGAGUUUCAGAAUUUCCUACACUCUGAGGUCUAUGGAGCCCUUCCUUGAAGCAUUACGUAUGUUCUGAAAGACAGGAUCAAGAAGCCUUUAAGUCCUUAUGUAAAACCCUUGUACCAGCUCCAGUCUGUUUUCCUGGAACUGAUGGCGUGGGCACUCUUAGCUGUCCAGGAGAUAAAAGCAUUGACCAAGUGAAUCUGUAUUACCUGUGGGUCAGGACAUAUGAAGCAUGUGGAAAGGCGAGGGAGCCCACAAGUGCACGAAGCUGCACAUGGCCAGUGCCCAUCUAUGCAGAAUGUGGUUGGUGGCUCCACUACAUGCAGCCCAAACCCUAAUCAGUCAUUCAGAGUAAUCCAACAUUAAAGGUUUCCAGGAGUGAACUCUCCUAGAAGCACCCAUGCCUUUGGGAAUGACAGUGAAGGGCAGAGAGCAAAGCUGAAGGACAGUCUUUCUUUCUUUUUUCUUUCUUUCUUUCUUUCUUUCUUUCUUUCUUUCUUUCUUUAUUGGAAAGCCUCAACAAACUCUACAGGUGUGAAAAUGGAACCAAUUUGUUCGAAUCAUCUCUCACUAUUACUGAGCUACCACGUCCCCUUCACAUAGAGUCCACUCUGUGUGACAGGGAUGGGGAGGUGGAGUUACGAGCCAGAGUAGACAUUGUGAGCCUGGCAAAUCUAAGGGAAGUGUGCCAUUUGCUGAGUCUGCAUCAAGGGGAUCUCCUGUCCUCAAUCUAACCUUGAAAGCUUGUGACAAACACUGAGUGGAGAAAAGGAUGGUUGGGAAGUUUGCUCAACCUGCUUGGAGUCACACGAAUUACAGAGAUGAAAUGGGACCUCAACUCCAAACCAAGCAGUCUGGAACCCAUGGUCCUUCCUUCUACGGCCUCGUGGUGGAUUGGAGUCAGAGCUCCAGUUGUAAUACUUGUGCUCAGGGCUGUAAUGUUUUCAACUGAUGGCCGGACAUCAGAGGAGGAACAAACACGGAGCAGGAGCUUUCCCCCAAAACCUGCCCCACCCCUUAGCAUUGAUCUCAGAUAAGUUGCUCAUAAAAAUAUCAAUAUCAUUAGUGGAAAGAUACACAAGAGUAGUCGCUCUUAUUUAUAAAAUAGAGGCAUGAUAUCAGAUAAGGUCUGGCAAAAAAAAAAAAAAAAAAAAAGCCACAAUAGUUGGAGGAGAGAGUGGGUUAUCUGUAAUGGUGUGAGGGAAGCAAGGUACCAGGAACACAGAGGUCAGGAGCAUGCCCAAGGCCUCUGACUGGUCAAGGCUUCUGUCCCGAGUCUCAGCUCCACUCUCUUCUCAAAUGUUGCAGAAUGUCUGUGAGUGUUCAUGUUUUUAAGACAGGUUGAUUUGGUUGUGCUCAUUAAGCAACAUCGGCCUGAUGACCCACUCCCUCUGCUGUUUUAGAACAGUCAGUGAUGAUUGCAGAGAAGUUGACUCAUCCAUCUUGUCCAGGAGACCUAAGAGAAAAGUUUUCUAGAGUCUCAGUGAGCCUUCCUCGACAGCGUUGUCUAUGUCCUGAUUCCCAUGUCUCUCUAAGACUUCGCAUCCUCUUUAAGUCUUCUAUCAAGAACACCUGUGUUAGCCUCCAGGAGGCUGAAUAGCUUUUCAAAAAUCUAGUUGAAAGGCACACACAUUCACUCAAUAAGUACUUUCUGAGAGUACCGCUGAAGUACUUGGUCACAGACUUAAGGAGCCCUUCCUCUGCCACACUGAUUGAGCCACAUUUUGCUGUGGUCAUCUCCAGACUCUGCUUACAUCUCAGGCAAGUGAACGGUUAGACCCGUGAGCCUUGGCCUCUCAUGAGUAAUGGCAGAUGCAUGCAUGGGUGAUGACAAUAAAUGUUGUUUCGAUGCUUCCCUUGUCCCGGUGUCUAUAGGUUAAAGGCAAUGAACUUCAUCUGCAUGUGAUGUCUUCUGACCUCAUUGUUGAUGGAUGAGUGAAAACACAGUGGCCCAGCAGGUGUGAAAUAUCAGCAUCAGCAGCCAUUAUCCUCAUUGCAACGUCAGUGGAGUAACUAAUAAUCUGCCUUAUUCUCACAUGCCUGGGUGGGAGCAGGCCUUAAAUGUAAUGCUCAAAUAACCCAUCCCUGCUGCCCACUGAUCUGUUAAAUUUCCUACAUGUGUAGAAUCUGACUGUUGUCGGUCUACCGUGGGAAUUCCUGGGAACUCCCAAUGUUCUUGAGGGGCUAUAUCCAACUUGGGCAACAAUUUUAACGUCACUGGACGAGAGAAAAACAGUUGAUAAAAACAAAAUAAAUCAUGUGGGUGGGCCUCCAUCAUUUCAUUCUUCUCCCUCCUUUCUCCACCCUAAUAGCCAUUUUUCUCUUUACAGGACUUUUUUUUGUUUUGUUUUUUUUUUGUUUUUUUUUGUUUUUUUUUUUUUUUUUGUUCCUAGAACAAUUGUUAACUUGUAGCGACAGUCAGGGUCUGGAGUGUCCCCUCCUCUCUCAUAGCACCUCGUGGUCUGGAAUCUCCUCAGCACCUUUCGCACACCACAUUAGGUUAACAUAUUUCCCUGUUUUCAAACAGGCAGGCCUUGCUACAUUGUUUUGCUUCUUUGCUCCUCCCUUUUCAGGUGAAGUCUUGCUAUCACAGUCCAGGAUGCCCUAGUACUCUCUAGUCCUCCUGCCUCAGCCUCCCAAGAGCUGGAAUAUCAGGGUGUGCCACUGAAUCAAGGUCAUGACACUCUAUUUUUUUUACAACAAAACCAAACCAGUGAUUGGUUCUCAGAAUAAAGGCGUCACAGCAGCAGGAACACAACUCCUGGAUACUGCAACUCUCGGAACUACGGAUUGGGAGAGUUGCCCUUUAUCAGUCUCCAGAUAAUUCUGAUUAUUCCUUUGUGAAAAACACCUUGGGUAGUUUCCUAUUUUUCUAGAGCUACUUUCGAGCUAUCUCCUUCCUUUAUCUGUCCAAGGUCUCUAUGGAGCAAACCACUAAUUUCCAUUAAUUUCUCAGCUUUGAUUUGUUUAGAAACCCCCACCACUUACCACCAUCACCUCAAAUCCAAGUCACUAGCUAGAGGUUGGUGGCAGGACACACAUUGGAAUUAAAAACACAUGACUUGGAAUAGUAAUCCCAGAUGCUCAGCUUUGAAACGUGAGCAAAGCACUUACCUCCUUAGGCCUCAGUGCCACCAACUGAAAAGUGGGUAAAUACCGCCUCUACUUUAUUAUAGAGACGGAAUAAAAUCAUGGCAUUAGAGUAUCAUGCAUUAUGGAGUAGAAGCUUAAUAAUUGCUGACUUCAAAUGAAACGGCUACACAUAUUUGGUGGAUACUUUAGAAACAGACUUGCUAAGAUUUUGUGGACUGUGGAGUGAGAGUUUUUUUUUUUCUUUUCUAUUUUUUUUUUUGAAAGCUUAUUAAAUGUUCAUUUACUUGUUUUACAUGGAGUUUCAUUCUGUUUGUCCCACCCUCACCCCAGUGGGGUGGGAAGCCUCAAUAUUGUUUGAAAGACAUUUUUAAAAUUAUACAGAAAAUUAGCUGAAACAAUCCAAUGAAGAAUUGCCUGUGCUACUUCAUCAGUUUUACAGAUACAAUGAAUUAAAAUGGAUCAUAAAAGGGAUUCAAUGUGUCCAAAGGAAUCCUAUGGCUUGCGAUGGAACUAGAAUUCAAAAUCACAACUGUGAUUUCUACCAUUUGUAUCAUCAGGAAUUUAAAUAUUAACUAUGUUCAUAUAUAUGUAUGUAUACAUAUAUGUGUAUACACACACACACACACGGUGGUGUACACAUCAUCAGAAAAUUAAAUAUUACACACACACAUGAGGCCAGGCAUGGUGGCAUACACCUUUAAUCCCUGCACCCAAGAGACAGAAGCAGGUGUAACUGUGAAUUUGAGGCCAGCUCCUACAUAAGGAUGAAACUCCUUAUGAUGAGUCAGAGUUGCACAGUGAGGCUGUAUCAAAAAAAAAAAAAAAAAAAAAAAGCACAAAACCACACACACCCACACAUGCACACACACACACACACACUAUUGGGCACCAUCUCAGUUGUGUGUGUCUUGUAUGUCCAGAUGCACACUUGGGUCUCCUGUCUCCUCAGGCAUGUGUGUAAUCUGCUGUACUCCUGUGCACCUUUCCACGUGGCGACACCAAGCAUUCUUGUGCCAUAGGCAUCUUGUGAGAUACUCCUGGGACCAUUUCAGUGGGAUGUGACACAGUUGAAAUAUUGCUAUCCGGCUCUUAUCUGAAGCUUCAAUUGUUACUCAGCUACCUACACUACAAGCCUUCAUUUUUCUUUAUAGCCUUCUGAAAGGUUUCACUGUCAGUGAGAUUAUGGGGUGAUUUCCUAGCUUUUCAGUAUUUUCUUUCCUCUUUGGUAACAUGAUUUUUUUAAUGAGUGUUCUCCCUAGGGAAUUAAUUAUUACCUUGAAGAGUAUAUUCACAUAGUUCCAUCAAAACAACUUAAAAUUAUCAAAACCUUGACAGACACACUGUGUAGCUUUUAAAACUCAAGUCAUCUAUGCAUGGAAUUUUUUUCCCAACUCUAUUGACUCAGAAAUUUUUAUUUGGGGCAAAAGACAUUUUUUUUCUGCCGUUCCCUUAGCUCUCUUACGCUCUCUUUGUUAAGCACAGAAAGUAUUUGUGUGUGUGUGUGUGUGUGUGUGUGUUUAGUUGCUGCUAUCUAGUAGGAACAUGCUAGAGCACACAGACUUUCUUUAGUUCUGAGUGAGCUGACACCUGUAACAUGCCCAUGGCUUCUCAUCACCACACAGCCUAACUUUGUUCAGGUGAGGCACAUUAUCUGUCAACCUGAAGGUUAGUAAUGACUGUUAACUCGACAGGAUCUAGAAUCAACUGGAGACACACCUGUGGGCAUGCUAAGAGGGAGCUCUUUCUGUGUUAACUGAGGUAGGAAGACUCCUCUAACUGUAAGUGGCUCCACAUACACACAUGCAUUUUUGUAUGCCAGGAUGGUCUGUACUUUCAAACUGUAAGCCAAACUAAAGCUUUUUAAAGUUACUUUUGUCAAAUAUUUUGUUACAGCGAUGAGAAAAAAAAGAAAAAUAAACAACUGAAU